RNAcentral lists this ribosomal RNA (490 nucleotides) under uncultured bacterium. RNAcentral's name for it is "partial 16S ribosomal RNA". It matches the Rfam family "Bacterial small subunit ribosomal RNA", at positions 28 to 507 of the family's 1533-position model. The record is from RNAcentral.
GAUGAACGCUAGCUACAGGCUUAACACAUGCAAGUCGCGGGGCAGCAUGGGGGUUGCUUGCAAUCCCCGAUGGCGACCGGCGCACGGGUGAGUAACGCGUAUCCAACCUGCCCUUCACCACGGGAUAACCCGGCGAAAGUCGGACUAAUACCGUAUGUUGUCCAUUGACGGCAUCCGAUUUGGACGAAAGGUUUGGCGGUGAAGGAUGGGGAUGCGUCCGAUUGGCUGGACGGCGGGGUGACGGCCCACCGCGGCGACGAUCGGUAGGGGUUAUGAGAGAAAGGUCCCCCACACUGGAACUGAGACACGGUCCAGACUCCUACGGGAGGCAGCAGUGAGGAAUAUUGGUCAAUGGGCGUAAGCCUGAACCAGCCAAGUAGCGUGCAGGAGGACGGCCCUAUGGGUUGUAAACUGCUUUUAUGCGGGGAUAAAGUGGCCCACGUGUGGGUUUUUGCAGGUACCGCAUGAAUAAGGACCGGCUAAUUCCGUG